Clostridium sp. CAG:678 is the source of this 235-nucleotide non-coding RNA. It matches the Rfam family "HNH endonuclease-associated RNA and ORF (HEARO) RNA". The record is from Rfam. NCBI's taxonomy places the organism in Bacteria, Bacillati, Bacillota, Clostridia, Eubacteriales, Clostridiaceae.
GUCAACUACUCGGCACUGAAGUACCGAGCUUGUCUCGAUAACAGAAGUGCGUUCCUUUGAACAAGUUGACUACCCUAAGUCUUGAAACAGAGGCUACGUUAUACAAGAAUAUAUAGUCACCGGUGGGCGUUUGCUCUAACCUGCUGCUCUGAGGUAUGUGGUUAAACCAUUCUGUCGGGUAGGAAUCGUGCUGCAUAUGUAAAACCUUGUAUAACUUUGGGGAAGGGCAUCUUAC